AGAGUUUGAUCAUGGCUCAGAAUCAACGCUGGCGGCGUGCCUAACACAUGCAAGUCGAACGCGAAAGCCCCUUCGGGGGUAAGUAGAGUGGCGUCCGGGUGAGUAACACGUGGGUAAUCUACCUCCGGGUGGGGAAUAACCCAGGGAAACUUGGGCUAAUACCGCAUAAUGCAGCGGCACCUAAUGGUGAUUAGUUGUUAAGGCGGGGGACCCUUUGGGGCCUCGCGCCUGGAGAGGAGCCUGCGGCAGAUUAGCUAGUUGGUGAGGUAACGGCUCACCAAGGCUACGAUCUGUAGCUGGUCUGAGAGGACGGCCAGCCACACUGGCACUGACACACGGGCCAGACUCCUACGGGAGGCAGCAGUGGGGAAUUUUGGGCAAUGGGCGAAAGCCUGACCCAGCAACGCCGCGUGAGGGAGGAAAUCCUUCGGGAUGUAAACCUCACAAGUAAGGGAAGAGAGCAGGGGGGUGAAUAACUCUCCUGUACGACGGUACCUUACGUAAGCCACGGCUAACUACGUGCCAGCAGCCGCGGUAAUACGUANGUGG
This 549-nucleotide ribosomal RNA is filed under the name uncultured bacterium. RNAcentral's name for it is "bacterial SSU rRNA". It matches the Rfam family "Bacterial small subunit ribosomal RNA", at positions 8 to 534 of the family's 1533-position model. The record is from RNAcentral.